AAGCAGGCCCUAGAGAAUAAGAAGGAGGGGGCUGUGCCAAUGUGGGGCGAGGGAGUCGAGGCCGAAGACACAGCAAGUGCAAAGGCCCUGAGGGAGGUUUGAGCUUGGAAUGUCAUGUUCAUUGCUGCCUUUUGUGGCUCCUGGUGCACAGUGGGUGCUCAAGAAAUAUUCAUGAAAGGAAUGAAAAGAGGACGGGAGGGAGAAAAAGAGGGAAGGUGAGUUUCUCCAGCAAAGCCCUCAGUGAACACAUCUUUUUCUCUUUUGCUCAAAGGAAGCAGAAAACUAUCUCAUGGGCAACAUAUGCCAACUCUUUAAUGCUGUUCAGCUCCCUUGCCCUCUCCUCACCCUGACCAAGCCUCUCAUUCUCUGCAAAGAUGGAUUCUGGUUGCCGCCUGGCUAAUCCAGUCCCUCCUUAAAGAGUGUAUUUCAUUUUUCUGGGAGCAAAUGAGUGAAGGGGAAAAGACCAUCUCAGCUGCCUCCCUCCCAGGCCUGGUGGCUCCAGAGUGGAUUUAUCACUUGCGGAGAGACAGAGACAGAUGACCCACUAAGACAGAGAUAUUAACACUGUCAGCUGAAAACAGUUGAAGGCCUGGGUUCUGUCCCCAUAUUUCACGUAGCUCAGGUGUACGGCGGCCUGGGCUAAUGAGUUGCAUCCGUCAGGCCGGCAGAGCUGCUGGCUCACAGAGCCUGUCACUAAUGGGCCGCUUCAGACACUGGCAAGGCCUGUUAGGGGAGCUUGGUGUAUGUUGGGGGUGUGUGCCUGAAUCUUCUUUGUUGGACUCCACUCUCUUCUGACCAGCUUAGGGGUGCGGCCUGACACUGUUUGAAACUCCUAAAUCCACCUCCUUCCCGCCAGACAUUUGGAGAAAAACACCCAUCAGUUUGCACGUACCAGCUGUGUAGUUCUAGGUAAAUUAACUUCGCGGACCCUCAAACGUGUCCUCUAUACAAUGGAACGGAAUGGUACCUGCUUUGCAGGGUUUUUCUGAGGAUUAAAGCGAUGACGUCAGUAAUAAAGCCGUGGUUAAGGCCUGGGGUUAGGUAGGGUGCCAGUUGCAGCCCUGCCACUCGCCAGCUGUGAUGGAGAUUGCCAGCUGCCUCCCAACACCCGUUCUCCCCUUCACUCUCAGAAAACGCUCCCAUUGUUUAAACUAAGUACCCAGUGGCUGAGAAGAAAGGCUACACUUCCCAGCUACCUUUGCGGCAGGGCAGGAUCAUGUGAUUCAAAUCUGGCCAAUGGGAUGUGAGCAGCCGUGACGUCCAACGGCUACACUUCCCAGCUAUCUUCGCGGCAGGGCAGGGUCAUGUGAUUCAAAUCUGGCCAAUGGGAUGUGAGCAGCAGAGCCGUCCAUCUCUCUCAGCUGUGCUCUUAAAAGGAGGCAGACCCUUUCCACUCCUGCUUCCGGGUGGCUGGAGUGUGGACGUGGGCUGGCGAGGAGCCGUGCUGCGCUUGGUGGAAAGAGCAGUUCUGGGGCUGGCAGGGCAGCAGGACAGAAGGAGGGCGGGUUCCUGAUGCUGGCCCAGCUGUCCGGGCGGCUGACGAGAGACGAAGAAAGCUCUGUACUGUCGAAGCCGCAGUCUGGCCCCUUUGGCAAACCAGACUCUACUCCGCAGACCCUGAGUCCGGCUGGAGACCACCCCACCGGGCCCUUCAGCUGCGUGUCGGCAGCGUGCUUCUCCCGUGCGCUUUGAGCAAACAAGAGAGGUGUUGUACAUCUCCUUCACCCGCCGGUAGCGGAAGGCCAGCUUCCUCAUCCAGUCCACGCCACCAUGGACGCCGGAGCCCAGGCACAGGUUGGCUCCCGGGGCCGAACUGUGGAAGCCAUCAGCGGAGAAGUUAGUCAAUUGCUGGUACUUUGCAGAUACAACCCCCCACCCUGAAUACAGCUGCUGGACUAACAAGUUGGACAUGUGGAUGGGGGAUGAGUCAGAGCGCCACACGGAGUUAACAGCAGAAGCGACAGCUGGGAACCAGAAGGGGAAAGUGCGUGGGCGGUUCGCCACCUACAGCGGCUCGACUGUGAGAAGGAAAACCCCAGCUCUCCACAGACGCCUCUUCCCCUCCACCAGAAGCUUGGUACAGGCUUGCAGAACCACAGGAGUAAAGCUUAUGCUACAGUGUCACCAGGCAAAACCAGAGCCUGACAAGGGAUGUGUGUACCAAAAACUUAAAAAAUCACAGUCUCUUCAGAGAGAAAAAGAUGGGGGAAGCAGGUCAGUGUGGUCCCACGGCCUCUCAGGGGGUGGGUUUGACUGAUCCAUUUGGAAGUCAAGGUUGGUGCCUCCUCAUCGGGUUCCUGCUGCCAGGAAUUUGAGCACACCCUCCUCCUUCAUUCACAGGACAUCAGAGACUCUGGAUGUUGCGGAAGUUUCCCUUUAAGUAAUGAUGGGAAUGUAGAACAACACCUUAUGGACCACUCCCUGGGCAGUGCAGAAAGGUUAGAUAAUUUAUUCUUACAAAAGAACACUGACUACAAACUCAGAGGGUCCCCUGGGGAGAUGCCUGGAUGUUCUGCCAAGAGGUGGAGGCCAGGGAAGGGUGUCCGUGAAUCCUGCCUCCCCCACUUACCAGCUGUGUGAGGUUGGGCAGGUUACUUAACCUCUCUGUGCCUCUCAUUCCCCAAGUGUAAAAUGAGGAUGAUUAUAAGAGCAACUAUUUCCUAGGGUUACUGUGAAGAUGCAAUGAGUUAAUUCAAGUAAAGCAUUUGCAGCAGGGCAUGGUGCAAAAUAAGGGCAUUGCCAGGGUUGGUUUUUUAGUGUUAACUGAAAAAAAAAAAACAUGAGGGGCAUUUGAUUCUUGGUGCCUUACACACAGUAGGUCCUCAAUAGACGGUUCUUUUUUUAAUUGA
Non-coding RNA from Vicugna pacos (alpaca), 2849 nucleotides. NCBI's taxonomy places the organism in Eukaryota, Metazoa, Chordata, Mammalia, Artiodactyla, Camelidae. The record is from RefSeq and is a predicted model, not a curated record.